Non-coding RNA from Triticum aestivum (bread wheat), 135 nucleotides. NCBI's taxonomy places the organism in Eukaryota, Viridiplantae, Streptophyta, Magnoliopsida, Poales, Poaceae. The record is from Rfam.
CAAAUACUCCCUCUGUUCGUAAAUACUUGUCAUCAAAAUGGAUAAAAGGAAAUGUAUCUAGACGUAUUUUAGUUUUAGAUAUACCUCUUUUUAUCCAUUUUGAUGACAAGUAUUUUCGGACGGAGGGGGUAUUUA